UACGGAGGAUGCGAGCGUUAUCCGGAUUUAUUGGGUUUAAAGGGUGCGUAGGCGGAACAAUAAGUCAGUGGUGAAAGACUGCAGCUUAACUGUAGACUUGCCGUUGAUACUGUUGAUCUUGAGUAUGGUCAAGGCAGGCGGAAUGUGUAAUGUAGCGGUGAAAUGCUUAGAUAUUACAAAGAACACCGAUUGCGAAGGCAGCUUGCUGGGCCAUUACUGACGCUGAUGCACGAAAGUGUGGGGAUCAAA
RNAcentral lists this ribosomal RNA (249 nucleotides) under uncultured prokaryote. RNAcentral describes it as "partial 16S ribosomal RNA". It matches the Rfam family "Bacterial small subunit ribosomal RNA", at positions 524 to 772 of the family's 1533-position model. The record is from RNAcentral.